Molecule: ribosomal RNA, 483 nt
Filed under: uncultured bacterium
Lineage: Bacteria
Description: partial 16S ribosomal RNA
Rfam family: Bacterial small subunit ribosomal RNA
Source: RNAcentral
AGUGAACGCUGGCGGCAGGCCUAACACAUGCAAGUCGAGCGGCAGCGCGGGGGCAACCCUGGCGGCGAGCGGCGGACGGGUGAGGAAUUCGUCGGAAUCUGCCUUUUUGUGGGGGAUAACGUAGGGAAACUUACGCUAAUACCGCAUACGUCCUACGGGAGAAAGUGGGGGACCGCAAGGCCUCACGCAGAAAGAUGAGCCGACGACCGAUUAGCUAGUUGGUGGGGUAAAGGCCCACCAAGGCGACGAUCGGUAGCUGGUCUGAGAGGAUGAUCAGCCACACUGGGACUGAGACACGGCCCAGACUCCUACGGGAGGCAGCAGUGGGGAAUAUUGGACAAUGGGCACAAGCCUGAUCCAGCCAUGCCGCGUGUGUGAAGAAGGCCUUCGGGUUGUAAAGCACUUUUGUCCGGAAAGAAAUCCCUGGAGCUAAUACCUUCGGGGGAUGACGGUACCGGAAGAAUAAGCACCGGCUAACUUCGU